ACUCCUACGGGAGGCAGCAGUGGGGAAUAUUGCACAAUGGGCGCAAGCCUGAUGCAGCCAUGCCGCGUGUAUGAAGAAGGCCUUCGGGUUGUAAAGUACUUUCAGCAGUGAGGAAGGUGGAUAUGUUAAUAGCAUAUUCAUUUGACGUUAGCUGCAGAAGAAGCACCGGCUAACUCCGUGCCAGCAGCCGCGGUAAUACGGAGGGUGCGAGCGUUAAUCGGAAUUACUGGGCGUAAAGCGCAUGCAGGUGGUUUGUUAAGUCAGAUGUGAAAGCCCGGGGCUCAACCUCGGAAUUGCAUUUGAAACUGGCAAACUAGAGUACUGUAGAGGGGGGUAGAAUUUCAGGUGUAGCGGUGAAAUGCGUAGAGAUCUGAAGGAAUACCGGUGGCGAAGGCGGCCCCCUGGACAGAUACUGACACUCAGAUGCGAAAGCGUGGGGGAGCAAAACAGGAUUAAGAUACCCUGGUAGGACUCUGC
Molecule: ribosomal RNA, 477 nt
Filed under: uncultured bacterium
Lineage: Bacteria
Description: bacterial SSU rRNA
Rfam family: Bacterial small subunit ribosomal RNA
Source: RNAcentral